AGCAUGUGGUUAAUUCGAUGGUACGCGAGGAACCUUACCUGGGUUUGACAUACAGGGGGAUGUGGCAGCGAUGUCACAGACUGGAACAGUACCUGUACAGGUGCUGCAUGGCUGUCGUCAGCUCGUGCCGUGAGGUGUUGGGUUAAGUCCCGGCAACGAGCGCAACCCCCUACUGCCAGUUACUAACAGGUAACGCUGAGGACUCUGGCGGAACUGCCGGUGACAAACCGGAGGAAGGUGGGGAUGACGUCAAGUCAUCAUGGCCCCUAUGUCCAGGGCUACACACGUGCUACAAUGGGCGAUACAGAGUGACGCGAAGCCGCGAAGUGGAGCAAAUCGCAGAAAAUCGCUCUCAGUUCGGAUUGGAGUCUGAAACCCGACUCCAUGAAGGUGGAAUCGCUAGUAAUCGCGCAUCAGCAUGGCCGCGGUCGAAUACGUUCCCGGGCCUU
RNAcentral lists this ribosomal RNA (449 nucleotides) under uncultured Spirochaetaceae bacterium. RNAcentral's name for it is "bacterial SSU rRNA". It matches the Rfam family "Bacterial small subunit ribosomal RNA", at positions 936 to 1382 of the family's 1533-position model. The record is from RNAcentral. Lineage: Bacteria; Pseudomonadati; Spirochaetota; Spirochaetia; Spirochaetales; Spirochaetaceae.